AUUGAACGCUGGCGGCAGGCCUAACACAUGCAAGUCGAACGGUAACAGGGAUCAGCUUGCUGAUUCGCUGACGAGUGGCGGACGGGUGAGUAAUGUCUGGGAAACUGCCUGAUGGAGGGGGAUAACUACUGGAAACGGUAGCUAAUACCGCAUAACGUCGCAAGACCAAAGAGGGGGACCUUCGGGCCUCUUGCCAUCGGAUGUGCCCAGAUGGGAUUAGCUAGUAGGUGGGGUAACGGCUCACCUAGGCGACGAUCCCUAGCUGGUCUGAGAGGAUGACCAGCCACACUGGAACUGAGACACGGUCCAGACUCCUAUGGGAGGCAGCAGUGGGGAAUAUUGCACAAUGGGCGCAAGCCUGAUGCAGCCAUGCCGCGUGUAUGAAGAAGGCCUUCGGGUUGUAAAGUACUUUCAGCGGGGAGGAAGGGAGUAAAGUUAAUACCUUUGCUCAUUGACGUUACCCGCAGAAGAAGCACCGGCUAACUCCGUG
This 490-nucleotide ribosomal RNA is filed under the name uncultured bacterium. RNAcentral's name for it is "partial 16S ribosomal RNA". It matches the Rfam family "Bacterial small subunit ribosomal RNA", at positions 30 to 507 of the family's 1533-position model. The record is from RNAcentral.